CCUGAGGCUCGGGGGGCGGGCGCUGCCCGGCCUGGCGGCUCCGCAGCCCCCGCGCCCUGGCGGGGAGGAGGUGACGGGACAGUCGGUUUGGUGCUCCCAGCCCGGCCUCACGGGGCUUUCCUCUCGCCAGCCCUUACGGGACGGUGCCCGGGAGCCCCCCGGGUGACGCCAGGCAGGCCUGCCCUCAGCUGUUCUGCCCGCUGCUCGUCGUGAGGGUGAGGGGCUGUCCCCUGCCAGUGCCCCGGGAGGAGGAGAGCCGAGGGGACCGGAACUCCCUCGUGGCCUCGUUCUCUGCGGGGGGUUUUCCUCCACGUGCUGUAAUGUCAGUGACUGAUUCACGGUUUUCAAAGGAAGAGAAAAAAAAAACAACCCAAUUUUCUUAGCUUCUUGCCAGGCAGCUUUAACGCUGGUCCCGCAUCGAACAAACCAGGCACAAGUUUUCCGUGGCGAUAACAAACAAAGCCUUUAUCACAACCGGCUCCUUCUAAUGGGGAGCUGGUGCUGCUCUGAAGCACAGAGAAAAAGAAUUUAUUGUUCCCUUAUCAUAAGAAAUGAACUUCUUCCUGCCUCACUCAGCCCUGGAGACGCUGUCAGGAAUCAGAGGAAGAAGCUGACACUGACCAGAGAGAAUCCUGUGUUUGAAUGGAAUUUAUGCAUCAUGUAUGAGGUGUAUGAAUAUGCAACAGGCUGUUGUUUUUCAGGGUUAAUCCUUUGUUAACGGGUGUCCUUUUUUUGGGCUUAUUUUGCCCAGAAAGACGUACCUGUAUGUCUGUAACUCUUUGUUUUUAUUGUCUCAUAUUGUCUUAAUCCCAACUGUUCAAAUUUUUAUUGCUCUAAUUAUAUUACUAUUUUUAUAACCAUUUACUACUAUUAAACUUUUAAAAUUCUAAAAACAA
Long non-coding RNA from Haemorhous mexicanus (house finch), 896 nucleotides. RefSeq lists it as uncharacterized. NCBI's taxonomy places the organism in Eukaryota, Metazoa, Chordata, Aves, Passeriformes, Fringillidae. The transcript is spliced from 2 exons. The record is from RefSeq and is a predicted model, not a curated record.